UCCGGUUUGUCACCGGCAGUCUCGCAUGAGUCCCCAACUAAAUGCUGGCAACUAGGAACGGGGGUUGCGCUCGUUGCGGGACUUAACCCAACAUCUCACGACACGAGCUGACGACAGCCAUGCAGCACCUGUGCACAGACUCCGAAGAGCGUACAUCAUUUCUGACGUACUUCCUGUGCAUGUCAAGCCUGGGUAAGGUUCUUCGCGUUGCGUCGAAUUAAACCACAUGCUCCGCUGCUUGUGCGGGUCCCCGUCAAUUCCUUUGAGUUUUAGCCUUGCGGCCGUACUCCCCAGGCGGGGCACUUAAUGCGUUAGCUUCGGCACGGAGGGAGUCGACACCCCCCACACCUAGUGCCCAUCGUUUACAGCGUGGACUAC
RNAcentral lists this unclassified non-coding RNA (378 nucleotides) under uncultured Thermoleophilia bacterium. RNAcentral describes it as "contains 16S-23S intergenic spacer region". Lineage: Bacteria; Bacillati; Actinomycetota; Thermoleophilia. The record is from RNAcentral.